Molecule: ribosomal RNA, 429 nt
Filed under: Bacteroidota bacterium
Lineage: Bacteria; Pseudomonadati; Bacteroidota
Description: Bacteroidetes bacterium partial 16S ribosomal RNA
Rfam family: Bacterial small subunit ribosomal RNA
Source: RNAcentral
UAGGGAAUCUUCCGCAAUGGGCGAAAGCCUGACGGAGCAACGCCGCGUGAGUGAUGAAGGUCUUCGGAUCGUAAAACUCUGUUAUUAGGGAAGAACAAAUGUGUAAGUAACUAUGCACGUCUUGACGGUACCUAAUCAGAAAGCCACGGCUAACUACGUGCCAGCAGCCGCGGUAAUACGUAGGUGGCAAGCGUUAUCCGGAAUUAUUGGGCGUAAAGCGAGCGCAGGCGGUCAAUUAAGUCUGAUGUCAAAGCCCCCGGCUCAACCGGGGAGGGUCAUUGGAAACUGGUUGACUUGAGUGCAGAAGAGGAGAGUGGAAUUCCAUGUGUAGCGGUGAAAUGCGUAGAUAUAUGGAGGAACACCGGUGGCGAAAGCGGCUCUCUGGUCUGUAACUGACGCUGAGGCUCGAAAGCGUGGGGAGCGAACAGG